Long non-coding RNA from Xenopus tropicalis (tropical clawed frog), 268 nucleotides. RefSeq lists it as uncharacterized. The record is from RefSeq and is a predicted model, not a curated record. The transcript is spliced from 2 exons. NCBI's taxonomy places the organism in Eukaryota, Metazoa, Chordata, Amphibia, Anura, Pipidae.
AUUUUUCACAACAGGAUCUGGAACCUCUAAAAAAAGUAGCCAAGAGGGUUGCUUCUUACCAAACUAAAGGCCAUUCCAGUCAAUAAUAUGAAUAUAUCUCUGAACAAGGUGAUUGGAAAUAACCUUAGUUGCACUUGGGACAGCAUGAGGAACUCAUCCGGGGAGAAGAUAAGCAUGCUGAAAAGAAGCCCUCUGAGUAUUCCCUAUACUGAUUAUGUGAAAAUGCUCAAUGAUCUAGCAAAAGAACAAGACUUCCGCCUCACCUAUC